GCGCCUGUAGCUCAAAUGGAUAGAGCAAUUGCCUUCUAAGCAAUAGGUUGGCCGUUCGAUUCGGCCCAGGCGCA
RNAcentral lists this transfer RNA (74 nucleotides) under Candidatus Omnitrophota bacterium. Its description in RNAcentral is "tRNA-Arg". It matches the Rfam family "tRNA". From Rfam's summary of the family: Transfer RNA (tRNA) molecules are approximately 80 nucleotides in length. Their secondary structure includes four short double-helical elements and three loops (D, anti-codon, and T loops). Further hydrogen bonds mediate the characteristic L-shaped molecular structure. tRNAs have two regions of fundamental functional importance: the anti-codon, which is responsible for specific mRNA codon recognition, and the 3' end, to which the tRNAs corresponding amino acid is attached (by aminoacyl-tRNA synthetases). tRNAs cope with the degeneracy of the genetic code in two manners: having more than one tRNA (with a specific anti-codon) for a particular amino acid; and 'wobble' base-pairing, i.e. permitting non-standard base-pairing at the 3rd anti-codon position. The record is from RNAcentral. Lineage: Bacteria; Pseudomonadati; Candidatus Omnitrophota.